Molecule: ribosomal RNA, 580 nt
Filed under: uncultured bacterium
Lineage: Bacteria
Description: partial 16S ribosomal RNA
Rfam family: Bacterial small subunit ribosomal RNA
Source: RNAcentral
UGGGGAAUUUUGGACAAUGGGCGAAAGCCUGAUCCAGCAAUGCCGCGUGUGUGAAGAAGGCCUUCGGGUUGUAAAGCACUUUUGUCCGGAAAGAAAUCCUUGGCUCUAAGUACAGUCGGGGGAUGACGGUACCGGAAGAAUAAGCACCGGCUAACUACGUGCCAGCAGCCGCGGUAAUACGUAGGGUGCAAGCGUUAAUCGGAAUUACUGGGCGUAAAGCGUGCGCAGGCGGUUUGCUAAGACCGAUGUGAAAUCCCCGGGCUCAACCUGGGAACUGCAUUGGUGACUGGCAGGCUAGAGUAUGGCAGAGGGGGGUAGAAUUCCACGUGUAGCAGUGAAAUGCGUAGAGAUGUGGAGGAAUACCGAUGGCGAAGGCAGCCCCCUGGGCCAAUACUGACGCUCAUGCACGAAAGCGUGGGGAGCAAACAGGAUUAGAUACCCUGGUAGUCCACGCCCUAAACGAUGUCAACUAGUUGUUGGGGAUUCAUUUCCUUAGUAACGUAGCUAACGCGUGAAGUUGACCGCCUGGGGAGUACGGUCGCAAGAUUAAAACUCAAAUGAAUUGACGGGGUCAUAGCUG